UACAGAGGGGGCAAGCGUUGUUCGGAAUUACUGGGCGUAAAGGGCGCGUAGGCGGUCCGCUAAGUCGAACGUGAAAUCCCCGAGCUCAACUCGGGAACUGCGUCCGAUACUGGCGGGCUUGAAUCCGGGAGAGGGAUGCGGAAUUCCAGGUGUAGCGGUGAAAUGCGUAGAUAUCUGGAGGAACACCGGUGGCGAAGGCGGCGUUCUGGACCGCAACUGACACUGAGAAACGAAAGCCAGGGUAGCAAACGGG
This 253-nucleotide ribosomal RNA is filed under the name uncultured bacterium. RNAcentral describes it as "partial 16S ribosomal RNA". It matches the Rfam family "Bacterial small subunit ribosomal RNA", at positions 524 to 776 of the family's 1533-position model. The record is from RNAcentral.